UCAGGAAAGAGAUUAUGUCUCAUUUUUGAUAUCCAAAAUCAAUAUUUUUAUUAAAUUAUUUCCUG
RNAcentral lists this transfer RNA (65 nucleotides) under Scirtothrips dorsalis. RNAcentral's name for it is "tRNA-Pro". Lineage: Eukaryota; Metazoa; Arthropoda; Insecta; Thysanoptera; Thripidae. The record is from RNAcentral.